CACCCAUUUAGCUGAGCUCACACAUGUCAAAUGCCGUUUUGAAGAUUUAGCGUGAGAUGUAGGGCUGUUUUUUAUUUAUUUUAUUGUCUAGCAAUAUAUUAGUUAAUGUUGUAUUUAAUUUGCACCGUAUAUUAUUUUGUAUAUUCCACUGGCUUUUUUUUUUUUUUUAAGAUGUUUUUGAAUCUCCUUGCUCUUCAUGAAAAUGUCUGUCUGCUGGUCUCAGGGGUAACAAGAAAAACUAAACAAAAAAACACUCGCGCUCAGAGAAGGUUGAAUGAAGCAGGUCGAAUGGUUGCAGUGUCCUUGGUUCAUGGUGGUCCUGGCCCUGGAUUUUUCUCUCAGGUUCUUUUUGGCUCCUUAGUCUAUGGACCUGAAUCUGUGGCACCAAAACUAGAGGAUGUAGCAGACUUUGAAGUGGCUCACAAAAUCCAACAGAAAACGAGGCAUCAGUGACAAUGGAAUUGAUUCUAGCAUUUGCAACAGGGGCAGACAGCAUUCCUCCAUGUGGAUUCUCUCCUGUACCAACAACUGAAUUUCUCCAUCAAACUGAAACAAUGCAACCAGGGGUACUACCAGUUGCAAACACAUGCAUAAACUGUCUAAAGCUACCCAUCCAUCAGACAUAUGAAGAAUUUAAUUUUUUUGUCUGAAACACUCAAGGUUUUGGACAAGAAUAACGUGUGAUCACAAACAUAAAACUGGUAAUGCUUAUUGGUGUUUGCUUCCUUUGUUUUUAAAAAGUAUAUUGUUUUAUGUAAAAUGAUAAAUGAAAGUAAAAGUGGCCAUUGCAAUUUACUUAAAUUGUAUGGUUGGCUAUUUGCUAACAACAAAUUGAAUGCACACAUGUCGGCAUUAAAGACAUUUUCAGGACCUGAAAAUGUCUUUAAUGCUGAUAUGUGUGCAUUCGUUUUACAUAUACGAGUAUACUUUUUUGACUGGGUGUAGGAAAUCAAGUUGAAAUGUUUUCCUUUGUUAAAGAACACUGAUUUAUUUUCGUAAAAUACAUAGGCCUAGAUUUAAUCAAACUCCAGCCUACCCACAGGUUGCAAAAUAUAAAUGUAGUAUUUGAUGGUGAAUGAGAACAAGUAAGGAGCCCCUGGCACAAAGAAAACCAACAAGUACUGGGUUUGUAUAUUUUGAUUUAUGGGUGGCUUAAAUUCUUCAUUUGUUUCAGGACUUUUAUAUAAUUUAUUUUACACAUAACUGUUUAUGAAAGAAAAAAAUAUAUCCUGGAUAUUUCCAGCAGAUUCUUUCAUUUUGCUGUUUGAUUAUUGUAUAGUAACAAAGUUGAACAAAAGCUCAAAUCCUAAUGGAAAUGGAGAAGACAGGUUCCACCUUUCUAGAACUAUUUCUGCAUUGUUAUAAUUGCAGCACAGAUCAUUCUGUGACAUUUAUUUGUUGUUUUCAAUUAAAAAGAAGGACCUUCCUACUCCAAAUAUUAUUUGAAUAACAUGUACAACCAUGGUGCAUUACAAAUACUUUUGCUUCUUAGGACAGCUUAAAGAAAUGGAAAAUGUAGAGAUUGCAUUUUAGUAUUCUGAUGUUAACAUUAAGUAGACAAUGUUAUGUAUUACAUAGUCAGAGGAGGAAAAAAGAAGAUAAGCCUUAUUCUGUCACAGGACUAGGGUUGAGAAACACUUGAAAGCAGGGGCCUUAAUCUAGGUAGCUUUAUUACUGGAAGAAGUGUUCACAACCAAAGAAUUGAAAGUUUAUGGGUAGAACUCAAUAGAGUAGUUAUUGCACGCUACUGCAAUCUCUUCCAGUUUGUGGAUCAGCAGAACAUUGUUAAUCAGUGGAACCACCAUGGGCUCUCAACACAAAAUCACUAUUCUCCUCUACAGCUUUGGCAUUUAGGAAUUAUUAAUCAUAUUGUCUCAAUGUAGUGUAGUGUUGACCAGUAUUUCUUUACCCUGGGCCUGGAGUACCCCUCUGCUGGUUUUUGUUCCAACCAAGCUCUCAAUUACUUAAUAGAACCCUAAUUUGAACUCAUAAUUUGUCUAAUCGGUGCUUUUGAAUUAUUUUUAUCUCCUAAAGAGUUGGUAUUUCUCAAGUUAUGUAUAAAAUUAUAUUAUUAAGUAACUUGAAAUAUUCAAUGCUUUAUCUGCAAAACCAUUUAAAAUGUCUAAUUAAGAAAACUGUUCAUUCAAUUGAGGGUUCAAUUAAGUAACUGAGAGCAGCUCAGUUGGAAUGAAAGCCAGCAACCACAGGGGUACUCCAGGACCGGGGUUGAGAAACCCUGGUGUUGACUACUAAUUCAACAGCACAAUUAAUAAUGUGUGUUAAGAUUUCUAUAUAAAAGGGCUCCAUUGUGAAUGUGUAAGUAGGA
Molecule: long non-coding RNA, 2326 nt
Organism: Acipenser ruthenus (sterlet)
Lineage: Eukaryota; Metazoa; Chordata; Actinopteri; Acipenseriformes; Acipenseridae
Exons: 3
Source: RefSeq, a predicted model, not a curated record